UAACACAUGCAAGUCGAGCGGGGGAGGUUGCUUCGGUAACUGACCUAGCGGCGGACGGGUGAGUAAUGCUUAGGAAUCUGCCUAUUAGUGGGGGACAACAUUCCGAAAGGGAUGCUAAUACCGCAUACGCCCUACGGGGGAAAGCAGGGGAUCUUCGGACCUUGCGCUAAUAGAUGAGCCUAAGUCGGAUUAGCUAGUUGGUGGGGUAAAGGCCUACCAAGGCGACGAUCUGUAGCGGGUCUGAGAGGAUGAUCCGCCACACUGGGACUGAGACACGGCCCAGACUCCUACGGGAGGCAGCAGUGGGGAAUAUUGGACAAUGGGCGGAAGCCUGAUCCAGCCAUGCCGCGUGUGUGAAGAAGGCCUUUUGGUUGUAAAGCACUUUAAGCGAGGAGGAGGCUACUAGUAUUAAUACUACUGGAUAGUGGACGUUACUCGCAGAAUAAGCACCGGCUAACUCUGUGCCAGCAGCCGCGGUAAUACAGAGGGUGCGAGCGUUAAUCGGAUUUACUGGGCGUAAAGCGUGCGUAGGCGGCUUUUUAAGUCGGAUGUGAAAUCCCCGAGCUUAACUUGGGAAUUGCAUUCGAUACUGGGAAGCUAGAGUAUGGGAGAGGAUGGUAGAAUUCCAGGUGUAGCGGUGAAAUGCGUAGAGAUCUGGAGGAAUACCGAUGGCGAAGGCAGCCAUCUGGCCUAAUACUGACGCUGAGGUACGAAAGCAUGGGGAGCAAACAGGAUUAGAUACCCUGGUAGUCCAUGCCGUAAACGAUGUCUACUAGCCGUUGGGGCCUUUGAGGCUUUAGUGGCGCAGCUAACGCGAUAAGUAGACCGCCUGGGGAGUACGGUCGCAAGACUAAAACUCAAAUGAAUUGACGG
Molecule: ribosomal RNA, 873 nt
Filed under: uncultured bacterium
Lineage: Bacteria
Description: bacterial SSU rRNA
Rfam family: Bacterial small subunit ribosomal RNA
Source: RNAcentral